This 445-nucleotide ribosomal RNA is filed under the name Micrococcus luteus. Its description in RNAcentral is "bacterial SSU rRNA". It matches the Rfam family "Bacterial small subunit ribosomal RNA", at positions 28 to 487 of the family's 1533-position model. Lineage: Bacteria; Bacillati; Actinomycetota; Actinomycetes; Micrococcales; Micrococcaceae. The record is from RNAcentral.
GAUGAACGCUGGCGGCGUGCUUAACACAUGCAAGUCGAACGAUGAAGCCCAGCUUGCUGGGUGGAUUAGUGGCGAACGGGUGAGUAACACGUGAGUAACCUGCCCUUGACUCUGGGAUAAGCCCGGGAAACUGGGUCUAAUACCGGAUAGGAGCGCCUGUCGCAUGACGGGUGCUGGAAAGAUUUUUCGGUCAUGGAUGGACUCGCGGCCUAUCAGCUUGUUGGUGAGGUAAUGGCUCACCAAGGCGACGACGGGUAGCCGGCCUGAGAGGGUGACCGGCCACACUGGGACUGAGACACGGCCCAGACUCCUACGGGAGGCAGCAGUGGGGAAUAUUGCACAAUGGGCGGAAGCCUGAUGCAGCGACGCCGCGUGAGGGAUGACGGCCUUCGGGUUGUAAACCUCUUUCAGCAGGGAAGAAGCGAAAGUGACGUACCUGCAGAGA